UACUACUCCUGUGUUUUGUAA
Molecule: non-coding RNA, 21 nt
Filed under: Caenorhabditis elegans
Lineage: Eukaryota; Metazoa; Nematoda; Chromadorea; Rhabditida; Rhabditidae
Source: RNAcentral